CCUACGGGAGGCAGCAGGGGGGAAUAUUGCGCAAUGGGCGAAAGCCGGACGCAGCGACGCCGCGUGAGGGAUGAAGGUCUUCGGAUCGGAAACCUCGGUCAGCAGGGAAGAACGGUCACUGUGCUAAUCAGCAGUGAAUUGACGGUACCUGCAAAGGAAGCACCGGCUAACUCCGUGCCAGCAGCCGCGGUAAUACGGAGGGUGCGAGCGUUAAUCGGAAUUACGGGGCGUAAAGCGCUCGUAGGCGGUAUGUCUAGUCAAGGGUGAAAUCCCCGCGCUCAACGUGGGAACUGCCUUUGAAACUGGCAAACUGGAGUGUGUGAGAGGUUAGUGGAAUUCCUGGUGU
RNAcentral lists this ribosomal RNA (346 nucleotides) under uncultured bacterium. RNAcentral's name for it is "partial 16S ribosomal RNA". It matches the Rfam family "Bacterial small subunit ribosomal RNA", at positions 338 to 676 of the family's 1533-position model. The record is from RNAcentral.